This 396-nucleotide ribosomal RNA is filed under the name uncultured bacterium. RNAcentral describes it as "partial 16S ribosomal RNA". It matches the Rfam family "Bacterial small subunit ribosomal RNA", at positions 523 to 918 of the family's 1533-position model. The record is from RNAcentral.
AUACGUAGGGAGCGAGCGUUGUCCGGAAUUACUGGGUGUAAAGGGUGCGUAGGCGGGACUGCAAGUCAGAUGUGAAAUGCCGGGGCUCAACCCCGGAGCUGCAUUUGAAACUGUGGUUCUUGAGUGAGGUAGAGGUAAGCGGAAUUCCUAGUGUAGCGGUGAAAUGCGUAGAUAUUAGGAGGAACAUCGGUGGCGAAGGCGGCUUACUGGGCCUUUACUGACGCUGUGGCACGAAAGCGUGGGGAGCAAACAGGAUUAGAUACCCUGGUAGUCCACGCUGUAAACGAUGAUGACUAGGUGUGGGGGGACUGAACCCUUCCGUGCCGCAGUUAACACAAUAAGUCAUCCACCUGGGGAGUACGGCCGCAAGGUUGAAACUCAAAUGAAUUGACGGGG